CCCCUAGAUGUUCUGGGCCGCACGCGCGCUACACUGAACAGUUCAACAAGUCUUAACCUUGGCCGAUAGGUCAGGGUAAUCUUUGAACGCUGUUCGUGAUUGGGAUAGACCUUUGCAAUUAUGGGUCUUCAACGAGGAAUUCCUAGUAAACGCAAGUCAUCAGCUUGCAUUGAUUACGUCCCUGCCCUUUGUACACACCGCCCGUCGCACCUACCGAUUGAAUGGUCCGGUGAAAUCUCGGGACGGCGGCUUGGUCGCUUGCGUCCGACUGCUGAAACUUGAUUAAACCAUAUCAUUUAGAGGAAGGUGAAGUCGUAACA
RNAcentral lists this ribosomal RNA (320 nucleotides) under uncultured eukaryote. RNAcentral describes it as "partial 18S ribosomal RNA". It matches the Rfam family "Eukaryotic small subunit ribosomal RNA", at positions 1470 to 1796 of the family's 1831-position model. The record is from RNAcentral.